AUGAACACAUCAAUUCCUUCUCGGUUGAACCCUCGUAAUUUACAUGGUACAAACUGAAACCAGUGCGCGCUCACAUCCGGACACCCUACAGAUCGAACGGUGUGGCACCGACGCCUCACUUGCCGGGCACGAAGUUGGUGGCGUAGGCCCAGGCGUUGUUGUUGACGGGGUCCGCGAGGUGGUCGGCGAGGUUCUCGAGCGGGCCCUUGCCGGUGACGAUGGCCUGGACGAAGAAGCCGAACAUGGAGAACAUGGCGAGGCGGCCGUUCUUGAGCUCCUUGACCUUGAGCUCGGCGAAGGCCUCGGGGUCGUCGGCGAGGCCGAGCGGGUCGAAGCUGCCGCCGGGGUAGAGCGGGUCGACGACCUCGCCGAGCGGGCCGCCGGCAAUGCGGUAGCCCUCGACGGCGCCCAUGAGCACGACCUGGCAGGCCCAGAUGGCGAGGAUGCUCUGCGCGUGGAUCAGGCUCGGGUUGCCGAGGUAGUCAAGGCCACCCUCGCUGAAGAUCUGGGAACCCGCCUUGAACCAGACGGCCUCGCCGAACUUGACGCCGUUGCGGGCGA
This 561-nucleotide long non-coding RNA is filed under the name Setaria viridis. RNAcentral describes it as "long non-coding RNA (SVIR_LNC002657)". The record is from RNAcentral. Lineage: Eukaryota; Viridiplantae; Streptophyta; Magnoliopsida; Poales; Poaceae.